UCCAGACUCCUACGGGAGGCAGCAGUGGGGAAUAUUGCACAAUGGGGGAAACCCUGAUGCAGCGACGCCGCGUGAGCGAUGAAGUAUCUCGGUAUGUAAAGCUCUCUCAGCAGGGAAGAAAGUGACAGUACCUGACUAAGAAGCCCCGGCUAACUACGUGCCAGCAGCCGCGGUAAUACGUAGGGGGCAAGCGUUAUCCGGAUUUACUGGGUGUAAAGGGAGCGUAGACGGUGAAGCAAGUCUGAAGUGAAAGGCGGGGGCUCAACCCCCGGACUGCUUUGGAAACUGUUUGACUGGAGUGCAGGAGAGGUAAGUGGAAUUCCUAGUGUAGCGGUGAAAUGCGUAGAUAUUAGGAGGAACACCAGUGGCGAAGGCGGCCUGCUGGGCUUUAACUGACGCUGAGGCUCGAAAGCGUGGGUAGCAAACAGGAUUAGAUACCCUGGUAA
RNAcentral lists this ribosomal RNA (446 nucleotides) under uncultured bacterium. RNAcentral's name for it is "partial 16S ribosomal RNA". It matches the Rfam family "Bacterial small subunit ribosomal RNA", at positions 330 to 793 of the family's 1533-position model. The record is from RNAcentral.